This 253-nucleotide ribosomal RNA is filed under the name uncultured bacterium. Its description in RNAcentral is "partial 16S ribosomal RNA". It matches the Rfam family "Bacterial small subunit ribosomal RNA", at positions 524 to 776 of the family's 1533-position model. The record is from RNAcentral.
UACGAAGGAUGCGAGCGUUAUCCGGAUUUAUUAGGUUUAAAGGGAGCGUAGGCGGUCUUAUAAGUCAGUGGUGAAAUCUCGAUGCUUAACAUCGAACGUGCCAUUGAUACUGUAGGACUUGAGUACAGUUGCCGUUGGCGGAAUGUGUCAUGUAGCGGUGAAAUGCAUAGAUAUGACACAGAACACCGAUUGCGAAGGCAGCUGACGAAACUGUAACUGACGCUGAGGCUCGAAAGCGUGGGGAUCAAACAGG